This 264-nucleotide ribosomal RNA is filed under the name uncultured bacterium. RNAcentral describes it as "partial 16S ribosomal RNA". It matches the Rfam family "Bacterial small subunit ribosomal RNA", at positions 793 to 1055 of the family's 1533-position model. The record is from RNAcentral.
GUCCACGCCAUAAACGAUGGAUACUUGUUGUUAGAGGUAUUGACCCCUCUAGUGACGUAGCUAACGCGUUAAGUAUCCCGCCUGGGGAGUACGGUCGCAAGAUUAAAACUCAAAGAAAUUGACGGGGGCCCGCACAAGCGGUGGAGCAUGUGGUUUAAUUCGAUGCAACGCGAAGAACCUUACCUAGGCUUGACAUAAACUGGAAGAGUGGCAGAAAUGUCCUCGCUCGCAAGAGUCGGUUUACAGGUGCUGCAUGGCUGUCGU